This 139-nucleotide microRNA precursor is filed under the name Gossypium barbadense (sea-island cotton). RNAcentral describes it as "MIR7502 microRNA precursor family". It matches the Rfam family "MIR7502 microRNA precursor family". RNAcentral also lists the same sequence under 1 other name. The record is from Rfam by way of RNAcentral. Lineage: Eukaryota; Viridiplantae; Streptophyta; Magnoliopsida; Malvales; Malvaceae.
AGUUAACAAUUCCAUCUAUUUGUGUUGUUAAAAACUGACAAGACUAACGAAAUAACCAUGUAAUAAUAUGUGUUGUACCACAUGUAUCUAAUGCAUAGGAAUCAAAUUUUAACAAUAAAAAUAGAUGGAAUUUUUAACA